This 1283-nucleotide long non-coding RNA is filed under the name Homo sapiens (human). Its description in RNAcentral is "HSALNT0242050". Lineage: Eukaryota; Metazoa; Chordata; Mammalia; Primates; Hominidae. The record is from RNAcentral.
CAAGUACCUACUUCAGAUGAAGGAGGCGCAAGACAAAAUCCAGGACUUGCCUAUGGAAACCCAUAUUCUGGUAUCCAAGAAAGUUCUUCCCCCAGCCCGGUAAGUAUUUGAUUCAUGAGAAUAUUCCCACAAAGCACUUGAAAAUUUCCCUUCCUGCUCCAGUUCAUGGGAGAACCAUAGGGAGACAGGUUCAUUUUGAUAACUCCAGAAGUCAGCUGGAUCAGUUUGUUUUGGGCCCAAGGCUGAGCCAGCCUGUUGUGGAAGGGAGAUGAAAGCACAGUUCAUCCAUCAGCAUUUUGCUUAGGAUCUAUACCUUUGAAUUAUUUGGUAGCAUAAGUAGGGAGGAGAUCUGAACCAGGCAGCUAGCCAAACAAGUUCUGUCCAAUGCCCCUUCAAGGCUAGAAGCUAUGUUGGCUAUUUCAGCAAUAUUAGGCCAUUUCAAUUCUGGGGUUAGACGAAGCCUGGUAAGCAUCUUCAAAUGUGCAUUCUCUUCAUUCAUUCACUAUUUCUUGAGUGCCUAACCAUGUGCCAGUCAUUAUGCUAGGCACUGAGGAUACAGUGGAAGACAGGAUGGCCACAUCUGUGCCACAUAUAGCUUACAUUUGUACUGACCUCUUUGCUCUUCCUCCCAGCUCUCCAUCAAGAAAUGCCCUAUCUGCAAAGCAGAUGAUAUUUGUGAUCACACCUUGGAGCAACAGCAGAUGCAGCCCCUUUGUUUCAAUUGUCCAAUUUGUGACAAGAUCUUCCCAGCUACAGAGAAGCAGAUCUUUGAAGACCACGUGUUCUGCCACUCUCUCUGAGUAUCCCAACCUCUUGGAUGUAUACAGAGAUUUUAUAGAAUAGAACCUAUAGCUUCUACCAUGAGUUAUAUGAGUCAAGAUCCUGCCUAACCUGAAAUUAUUAGGGAUUUACUCAGCCCUGCUGCCGCUAACAGUGGAGUUAUGUCACUGAUCUGAAGGUCACUGUUAAGGGCUUCUGCUGCCAUCCUUGUGGGUUGCUACCUUUAAGUCGCAUAACUCUAGCUGUAUCAUCCUCUCACCUGUCAUUCUUCUGAGGGUCUCAGUACAAGGGCCCUGGGAUGGAGCCAACCUGGGUAUUCACAACAGGCCUGACUUGAUACUAAGUGAUUAGUUUUCCAAGUUGUCCCACUGCCAUUCAAAGUCAGCCCUUGAGUGUAUUUGUUCUCAGUCCUAACCCUGGGGCCAGAGAUUGGUCCGAGGUUGAGAAUUCCUUCCUCCUCAUCCUUGGUGUUGCUUUCUCCAAAUGAUUGUUUUAGACUAGCC